This 164-nucleotide ribosomal RNA is filed under the name Symphyotrichum novae-angliae. RNAcentral's name for it is "5.8S ribosomal RNA". It matches the Rfam family "5.8S ribosomal RNA". Rfam says of the family: 5.8S ribosomal RNA (5.8S rRNA) is a component of the large subunit of the eukaryotic ribosome. It is transcribed by RNA polymerase I as part of the 45S precursor that also contains 18S and 28S rRNA. Functionally, it is thought that 5.8S rRNA may be involved in ribosome translocation. The record is from RNAcentral. Lineage: Eukaryota; Viridiplantae; Streptophyta; Magnoliopsida; Asterales; Asteraceae. RNAcentral also lists the same sequence under 10 other names.
CUCUCGGCAACGGAUAUCUCGGCUCACGCAUCGAUGAAGAACGUAGCAAAAUGCGAUACUUGGUGUGAAUUGCAGAAUCCCGUGAACCAUCGAGUUUUUGAACGCAAGUUGCGCCCGAAGCCAUUCGGCUGAGGGCACGUCUGCCUGGGCGUCAGCAUCGCGUC